GCCAGUUUUGCUCAGUGGGUAGAGCGUUGGCCUGUGGACCAACCAAGGGUCCUGGGUUCUAUUCCAGUAAUGGCC
RNAcentral lists this transfer RNA (75 nucleotides) under Myotis davidii. It matches the Rfam family "tRNA". From Rfam's summary of the family: Transfer RNA (tRNA) molecules are approximately 80 nucleotides in length. Their secondary structure includes four short double-helical elements and three loops (D, anti-codon, and T loops). Further hydrogen bonds mediate the characteristic L-shaped molecular structure. tRNAs have two regions of fundamental functional importance: the anti-codon, which is responsible for specific mRNA codon recognition, and the 3' end, to which the tRNAs corresponding amino acid is attached (by aminoacyl-tRNA synthetases). tRNAs cope with the degeneracy of the genetic code in two manners: having more than one tRNA (with a specific anti-codon) for a particular amino acid; and 'wobble' base-pairing, i.e. permitting non-standard base-pairing at the 3rd anti-codon position. Lineage: Eukaryota; Metazoa; Chordata; Mammalia; Chiroptera; Vespertilionidae. The record is from Rfam by way of RNAcentral.